UACGUAGGGUCCGAGCGUUGUCCGGAAUUAUUGGGCGUAAAGAGCUCGUAGGCGGUUUGUCGCGUCUGCUGUGAAAUCCCGAGGCUCAACCUCGGGUCUGCAGUGGGUACGGGCAGACUGGAGUGCGGUAGGGGAGAAUGGAAUUCCUGGUGUAGCGGUGGAAUGCGCAGAUAUCAGGAGGAACACCGAUGGCGAAGGCAGUUCUCUGGGCCGUAACUGACGCUGAGGAGUGAAAGCGUGGGGAGCGAACAGG
Molecule: ribosomal RNA, 253 nt
Filed under: uncultured bacterium
Lineage: Bacteria
Description: partial 16S ribosomal RNA
Rfam family: Bacterial small subunit ribosomal RNA
Source: RNAcentral